RNAcentral lists this ribosomal RNA (447 nucleotides) under Priestia megaterium. RNAcentral's name for it is "bacterial SSU rRNA". It matches the Rfam family "Bacterial small subunit ribosomal RNA", at positions 357 to 796 of the family's 1533-position model. Lineage: Bacteria; Bacillati; Bacillota; Bacilli; Caryophanales; Bacillaceae. The record is from RNAcentral.
GGGAAUCUUCCGCAAUGGACGAAAGUCUGACGGAGCAACGCCGCGUGAGUGAUGAAGGCGUUCGGGUCGUAAAACUCUGUUGUUAGGGAAGAACAAGUACGAGAGUAACUGCUCGUACCUUGACGGUACCUAACCAGAAAGCCACGGCUAACUACGUGCCAGCAGCCGCGGUAAUACGUAGGUGGCAAGCGUUAUCCGGAAUUAUUGGGCGUAAAGCGCGCGCAGGCGGUUUCUUAAGUCUGAUGUGAAAGCCCACGGCUCAACCGUGGAGGGUCAUUGGAAACUGGGGAACUUGAGUGCAGAAGAGAAAAGCGGAAUUCCACGUGUAGCGGUGAAAUGCGUAGAGAUGUGGAGGAACACCAGUGGCGAAGGCGGCUUUUUGGUCUGUAACUGACGCUGAGGCGCGAAAGCGUGGGGAGCAAACAGGAUUAGAUACCCUGGUAGUCC